GACGAACCGUGCGAACGUUGUUCGGAAUCAUUGGGCUUAAAGGGCGCGUAGGCGGGCCGCCGAGUCCGGGGUGAAAUCCUCCAGCUUAACUGGAGAACUGCCCCGGAUACUGGAGGGCUCGAGGGGGGUAGGGGCAUGCGGAACUGUGGGUGGAGCGGUGAAAUGCGUUGAUAUCCACAGGAACUCCGGUGGCGAAAGCGGCGUGCUGGACCCUUUCUGACGCUGAGGCGCGAAAGCCAGGGGAGCAAACGGG
RNAcentral lists this ribosomal RNA (253 nucleotides) under uncultured bacterium. RNAcentral's name for it is "partial 16S ribosomal RNA". It matches the Rfam family "Bacterial small subunit ribosomal RNA", at positions 524 to 776 of the family's 1533-position model. The record is from RNAcentral.